This 484-nucleotide ribosomal RNA is filed under the name uncultured bacterium. RNAcentral's name for it is "partial 16S ribosomal RNA". It matches the Rfam family "Bacterial small subunit ribosomal RNA", at positions 30 to 507 of the family's 1533-position model. The record is from RNAcentral.
AUUGAACGCUGGCGGCAGGCCUAACACAUGCAAGUCGAGCGGAUGAAGGGAGCUUGCUCCUGGAUUCAGCGGCGGACGGGUGAGUAAUGCCUAGGAAUCUGCCUGGGAGUGGGGGAUAACGUCCGGAAACGGGCGCUAAUACCGCAUACGACCUGAGGGAGAAAGUGGGGGAUCUUCGGACCUCACGCUAUCAGAGGAGCCUAGGUCGGAUUAGCUAGUUGGUGGGGUAAAGGCCUACCAAGGCGACGAUCCGUAACUGGUCUGAGAGGAUGAUCAGUCACACUGGAACUGAGACACGGUCCAGACUCCUACGGGAGGCAGCAGUGGGGAAUAUUGGACAAUGGGCGAAAGCCUGAUCCAGCCAUGCCGCGUGUGUGAAGAAGGUCUUCGGAUUGUAAAGCACUUUAAGUUGGGAGGAAGGGCAGUAAGUUAAUACCUUGCUGUUUUGACGUUACCAACAGAAUAAGCACCGGCUAACUUCGUG